UCCCUGGUGGCUCAGAGGGUAAAGCGUCUGCCUGCAAUGCGGGAGACCCAGGCUCAAUCCCUGGGUUGGGGA
Molecule: non-coding RNA, 72 nt
Organism: Bos taurus (domestic cattle)
Lineage: Eukaryota; Metazoa; Chordata; Mammalia; Artiodactyla; Bovidae
Source: Rfam